Molecule: long non-coding RNA, 666 nt
Filed under: Columba livia (rock pigeon)
Lineage: Eukaryota; Metazoa; Chordata; Aves; Columbiformes; Columbidae
Description: partial uncharacterized LOC102084122, transcript variant X2
Source: RNAcentral
GGGGGUGUGGUAUGUCACAGCUCCCCUAUCAGCUGGCACACGGCGGUGGGAGAUAUGAGACAGCAGAAAAAGUCGUAGUAACAACAUCACCCAGACUGCCGAAGACGGAACGAAUGCGCUGAGUAACUUCAGUGUGCGUGCACUUACUUUCCGAAAACAGGUGGAGGGUUUUCAGCCCUGGCUUCUGCUCGCACAUCCCACUCGGCACAGAUGGGUGGUCAUGUUGCCAACUAUGCAGCAGAAAGGCGAUGGUUCGUUAGCGUCGUAUUAGCGCCUUUAGCAGACAUGGAAACUCAGACGCACUCUUUUAAGUAGAUUUCUGUAUUUUUGCCUGCAUCCUCAAUUAACUCCAGCCUACUAAUUUUUAGCAGAAGAAACAGUUGUUUUCUCCUUCAUCUUAAAGUUGUGUUUCCAAGUAGGAGAAGAAUCCAAGAACGAAACCAGUUUUGAGUAAUAGUGUCAUUCAGCAGCUCCCUGAGCAUCAGGAUUGAAAGGACACAUCAGAUGCCACAGCAGAAGCCAGAAUUUUGUUUCUCUUCUGAAGGACAAAGGGCUGAAUCAACCAUCGCUACUGGUCCUGCAAUCCCAAGGAGCCUGUAGUUUUUCAAACCUAAGACUGAGAGGCUUUCAAGCAGCGGCAGUGUCUUCACACACACUUAAAAUAAA